AGUGCGUUGGCAGAAUAGUGCAACUGAUUUAGGAUCAGUUUAUGAUAUAUAAUCACACACUA
This 62-nucleotide transfer RNA is filed under the name Amynthas pectiniferus. Its description in RNAcentral is "tRNA-Leu". The record is from RNAcentral. Lineage: Eukaryota; Metazoa; Annelida; Clitellata; Crassiclitellata; Megascolecidae.